Molecule: ribosomal RNA, 502 nt
Filed under: uncultured bacterium
Lineage: Bacteria
Description: bacterial LSU rRNA
Rfam family: Bacterial large subunit ribosomal RNA
Source: RNAcentral
CGAAAGGGUUGCAGUGAAAAGGUGGCUGCGACUGUUUAUUAAAAACACAGCACUCUGCAAACACGAAAGUGGACGUAUAGGGUGUGACGCCUGCCCGGUGCUGGAAGAUUAAAUGAUGGGGUGCAAGCUCUUGACUGAAGUCCCAGUAAACGGCGGCCGUAACUAUAACGGUCCUAAGGUAGCGAAAUUCCUUGUCGGGUAAGUUCCGACCCGCACGAAUGGCGUAACGAUGGCCACACUGUCUCCUCCUGAGACUCAGCGAAGUUGAAAUGUUUGUGAAGAUGCAAUCUCCCCGCUGCUAGACGGAAAGACCCCGUGAACCUUUACUGUAGCUUUGCAUUGGACUUUGAACAGACUUGUGUAGGAUAGGUGGGAGGCUUUGAAGUGGGAACGCCAGUUCUCAUGGAGCCGUCCUUGAAAUACCACCCUGGUGUGUUUGAGGUUCUAACCUGGGUCCGUCAUCCGGAUCGGGGACCGUGCAUGGUAGGCAGUUUGACUGGGG